Molecule: long non-coding RNA, 2397 nt
Organism: Oncorhynchus nerka (sockeye salmon)
Lineage: Eukaryota; Metazoa; Chordata; Actinopteri; Salmoniformes; Salmonidae
Exons: 5
Source: RefSeq, a predicted model, not a curated record
AUGUGGUGCAACCACUGGUAACGCACAUCAUGAUUGGUGUCGUGGAAAUAUUCGGUCAAUUCUAUUUCACAAAUAUAUAUAUAUUUUUAACCUUUAUUUAACUAGGCAAGUCAGUCAAGAACAAAUUCUUAUUUUCAAUGACGGCCUAGGAACAGUGGGUUUAACUACCUUGUUCAGGGGCAGAACGACAGAUUUGUACCUUGUCAGCUGGGGGAUUCGAACUUGCAACCUUUCGGUUACUAGCCCAAUGCUCUAACAACUAGGCUACCCUGCCACCCUGGAGCCCGUGGCUGCUGCCCCCUGGUGGUUGCCAGUCAGAGGGGCAGACUGGAGGCACCCAGAGGGUCUCGACUCCAGCAUCACUAACAGACCAUCCUGUGCUGCAUGUGUCAUGGGGGGAUGGUCUGGCCUACUGCUCCUGGACCCACAAGAGACUGAGUGGGAGUACGCCUGCAGAUGUGGCCUACAACACAGGUGAUGUCAUUUCCUGCUAAUGGCUAUGGCCUGUACAACAUGGUGGGGAAGGCAUGGGAGUGGACAUCUGACUGGUGGACUGUUCACCACACUAAGGACGAUAAUACACAAACACAUUUAUUUUAUGUGGCACUUAUAUCUGUGAGGAUUUCCUCUUCUUCAUGUUCUGAUAUUUUCUCUCCUCUCUUUUACAGACAGGACCACCAUCAGGCAGAGACCAAGUGAAAAAAGGAGGCUCCUACAUGUCUCAUAAGAAUUCUGGGCUGUAGUGGAGCAGGCCAAGAGUUUCAAGUUUCUUGGUAUUCACAUCACCAACAAACUAUCAUGGUCCAAACACACCAAGACAGUCGUGAAGAGGGCACGACAACACCUAUUCCCCCUCAGGAGACUGAAAAGAUUUGGUAUGGGUCCUCAGAACCCCAUAAAGUUCUACAGCUGCACCAUCGAGAGCAUCCUGACCGGUUGCAUCACCGCCUGGUAUGGCAACUGCUCGGCAUCUGACCGUACGGCGCUACAGAGUGUAGUGCGUACCCAGUACAUCUCUAAGCUUCCUGCAAUCCAGGAUCUUUAUAAUAGGAUGUGUCAGAGGAAAGCCCCCAAAAUUGUCAAAGACUACAGUCACCCAAGUCAUAGACUGUUCUCUCUGCUACCGCACGACAUUCAUGUUCUUUAAUAAAGGAACUAGACAUGAAAUAACUAACAAAACAAUAAAUGUGCGAAAACCUAAACAGUCCUAUCUGGUGCAAACACAGAGACAGGAACAAUCACCCACAAACACACAGUGAAACCCAGGCUACCUAAAUAUGGUUCCCAUAUUUGACUAACACCUGCCUCUGAUUGAGAACCAUAUCAGGCCAGACAUAGAAAUAGACAAACAAGACAUCCAACAUAGAAUGCCCACUCAGAUCACACCCUGACCAACCAAAACAUAGAAACAUACAAAGCAAACUAUGGUCAGGGUGUGACAGGAACGAAGUGGCUAGCUAGCUAAGUGUGUCAUUGUUUCGUUAAUUUUCAUUCUAUUGUCCGUGCAAUAGGCCAUCAUUGAUUUUGGCCCAAUAGGCCUGACAUGACCUCUUUCAAGGAGCUUUCCGUGUUGAUAGGGUUAUUUUGCCUAAAAACAAAAAACAACUCUGCAUCCCUGCCAAUGUAAGGGGUGCGUACUGGCGGCAGAGAAGUCAGACGCAGGAGAGCAAAAACUGUGUUUCCAACGACGCAGUUUAAUAACAAAAAAAACAGGAAAACAGAACAAUCAAAUAAUGGGUAAAUAAACCGGACAGACGUGCACAAGCACUUACAAUAAACAAUCACCGACAAGGACUUGAGGGGGAACAGAGGAUUAAAUACACAACAUGUAAUUGAUGGAAUUGGAACCAGGUGUGAUGGAAGACCAGACAAAACCAAGAGGAUCAGCAAUGGCUAGAAGUUCUUCGACCGCUGAACGCCGCCCGAACUUGGAAAGGGACCAACUUCAGCCUAUACGCGCAAUUUAUAGACUAUAAUGAUUUAAUAGAACAAAAUGUUGUUUAAAUACUUGAGCGCUUAAUGUUCCUGCCAGCCUUUUGUGUUGCAAUCGCAAAUGCUUCAAAAUUUAUUUCUUUGUAGGCUAAUAUACAGUGCCUUGCAAAAGUAUUCACCCCCCAUUGGUAUUUUACCUAUUUUGUUGCGUUACAACCUGUAAUUUAAAUAGAUUUCUAUUUGGAUUUCAUGUAAUGGACAUAAACAAAAUAGUCCAAAUUGGUGAAGUGAAAUGAAAAAAAAUUACUUGUUUAAAAAAAUUAUAAAAAAGAUCUUAACGGAAAAGUGGUGCUUGCAUAUGUAUUCACCCCUUUUGCUAUGAAGCCCCUAAAUAAGAUGUGGUGCAACCAAUUACCUUUAGAAGUCACAUAAUUAAUUAAAUAAAGUCCAUCUGUGUGCAAUCUG